GACGAACGCUGGCGGCGUGCUUAACACAUGCAAGUCGAACGGAAAGGCCCUGCUUUUGUGGGGUGCUCGAGUGGCGAACGGGUGAGUAACACGUGAGUAACCUGCCCUUGACUUUGGGAUAACUUCAGGAAACUGGGGCUAAUACCGGAUAGGAGCUCCUGCUGCAUGGUGGGGGUUGGAAAGUUUCGGCGGUUGGGGAUGGACUCGCGGCUUAUCAGCUUGUUGGUGGGGUAGUGGCUUACCAAGGCUUUGACGGGUAGCCGGCCUGAGAGGGUGACCGGCCACAAUGGGACUGAGAUACGGCCCAGACGCCUACGGGAGGCAGCAGGGGGGAAUAUUGCACAAUGGGCGGAAGCCUGAUGCAGCAACGCCGCGUGCGAGAUGACGGCCUUCGGGUUGUAAACCGCUUUCGCCUGUGACGAAGCGUGAGUGACGGUAAUGGGUAAAGAAGCACCGGCUAACUACGUG
Molecule: ribosomal RNA, 468 nt
Filed under: uncultured bacterium
Lineage: Bacteria
Description: partial 16S ribosomal RNA
Rfam family: Bacterial small subunit ribosomal RNA
Source: RNAcentral